RNAcentral lists this ribosomal RNA (400 nucleotides) under uncultured soil bacterium. Its description in RNAcentral is "bacterial SSU rRNA". It matches the Rfam family "Bacterial small subunit ribosomal RNA", at positions 26 to 432 of the family's 1533-position model. The record is from RNAcentral.
AGAUUGAACGCUGGCGGCAUGCCUUACACAUGCAAGUCGAACGCGAAAGGGGGGCAACCCCCGAGUAGAGUGGCGAACGGGUGAGUAAUACAUCGGAACGUAUCCAGUAGCGGGGGAUAACCUCUCGAAAGAGAGGCUAAUACCGCAUACGACCUACGGGUGAAAGAGGGGGAUCGCAAGACCUCUCACUAUUGGAGCGGCCGAUGUCGGAUUAGCUAGUUGGCGGGUAACGGCCCACCAAGGCUACGAUCCGUAGCUGGUCUGAGAGGACGACCAGCCACACUGGAACUGAGACACGGUCCAGACUCCUACGGGAGGCAGCGGUGGGGAAUUCUGGACAAUGGGCGCAAGCCUGAUCCAGCCAUGCCGCGUGAGUGAAGAAGGCCUCGGUUGUAAGACU